Long non-coding RNA from Rhagoletis pomonella (apple maggot), 209 nucleotides. RefSeq lists it as uncharacterized. The record is from RefSeq and is a predicted model, not a curated record. The transcript is spliced from 2 exons. NCBI's taxonomy places the organism in Eukaryota, Metazoa, Arthropoda, Insecta, Diptera, Tephritidae.
UACAUCCGACAUUUGCAGCCCCGAUGAAAAUCUCAAAAAAGCGCUUGUAAUGCAACACCAACAAUAGGGCAGCACUUCCCUCAAUGAGUGAUGUUACGCCAUCAUCGUCUACGAUUUCAACUGCCUACAUUUCGUACAUUCGUCAACUUCAACAUCAUUACAUUUCAUUCUGAUACACACAAGCAUAUAAAUAUACUUGAAUAUUGACA